This 495-nucleotide ribosomal RNA is filed under the name uncultured bacterium. Its description in RNAcentral is "bacterial SSU rRNA". It matches the Rfam family "Bacterial small subunit ribosomal RNA", at positions 29 to 518 of the family's 1533-position model. The record is from RNAcentral.
AUGAACGCUAGCGACAGGCCUAACACAUGCAAGUCGAGGGGCAGCACAAGGAGCAAUCUGAGGUGGCGACCGGCGCACGGGUGAGUAACACGUAUGCAACCUGCCUGUAAGCGGGGAAUAACCCGUUGAAAGACGGACUAAUACCGCAUAAUACUAAAUUACUGCAUGGUAAUUUAUUUAAACAUUUAUGGCUUACAGAUGGGCAUGCGCAUGAUUAGCUAGUUGGAGAGGUAACGGCUCCCCAAGGCAACGAUCAUUAGGGGUUCUGAGAGGAAGGUCCCCCACACUGGUACUGAGACACGGACCAGACUCCUACGGGAGGCAGCAGUGAGGAAUAUUGGUCAAUGGACGAGAGUCUGAACCAGCCAAGUCGCAUGCAGGAAGAAUUGUCCUAUGGAUUGUAAACUGCUUUUGCAGGGGAAUAAAGUGCAUCACGUGUGAUGUUUUGUAUGUACUCUGCGAAUAAGGAUCGGCUAACUCCGUGCCAGCCGCCGC